UACACAGAAGCGACAAAGUGGUUUCCCGCGUAAGUCGAUUUCCAGUGCGCAUGUGCUAAAAUCGCCAUGGAAACAUGUUGUUUUUCCGUCAAGUAACCAAGCUUAUUUAUUUAUUUUUAGACUUAGUGUGAGUGGAUUAGUAUUAGUGACUAUUUAAACAGACAUAAUAUUUGUGAUGUAUCGUCGAGGGGGUUAUUAUUUUAUUUGUCGAGGGUGCCCAUCCAAAACAGGUAGAGGACUAAGCUUCUUUCCAUUCCCGAAGACUCCAGCAGAGCUUCAGCAUGGUUGAGAGCAUGCAAUAGAAAGGAUCUUCUCGAGAAAAAUCCACAGACACAUAAUUAUCGACUUUGCGAGCUACAUUUUGAACAAAAAUAUUUGUUCAAAGGUGGACUUCGGAAAACUUUAUUUAUCUUUGUAUAAAAUGUUACAAAUACAGUGUGGUCUGUAAGUAAUGGCCCGUAGAGAAAUACUGAAUUCUUUACUUUUAAGAUUUUUUAAUAAUAAAAGCUCGUUACUUAAAAGCUUUCCGUUACUCAUAAAAAGAGUUACGCUCACAUUUACGUCACAUACUUGGCUUAUGUGGUGCCCUCUAGAAAAUACAUCGAAAUAAAUAACAGAUGAUCUCUCGUACCAAAAACAUUUACCCUAAAAUGUUUACAUUCUUAUAUCCAAUAACAUAAUUAUUACCAAAAUUUAAUUUUUAACUUCAACACCCUGUAUCUUUUUUAUUAUCAACAUUUUAUUAAGAAAUGUUGGCUCCAAUCGUAAUAUUUUGAAGUAAAGAAUCUAGUAUUUCUCUAUGGGCCUAUGGAAUAAUAAAUAAU
Molecule: long non-coding RNA, 824 nt
Organism: Anoplophora glabripennis (Asian longhorned beetle)
Lineage: Eukaryota; Metazoa; Arthropoda; Insecta; Coleoptera; Cerambycidae
Exons: 3
Source: RefSeq, a predicted model, not a curated record